UACGUAGGGUGCAAGCGUUAAUCGGAAUUACUGGGCGUAAAGCGUGCGUAGACGGUUAUUUAAGUCAGGUGUGGAAGCCCAGGGCUCAACCUUGGAAUUGCAUUUGAGACUGAAUAGCUAGGGUGCGGAAGAGGGAAGCGGAAUUUCCGGUGUAGCGGUGAAAUGCGUAGAUAUCGGAAGGAACACCAGUGGCGAAAGCGGCUUCCUGGUCCAGCACCGACGUCAGGCACGAAAGCGUGGGGAGCAAACAGG
Molecule: ribosomal RNA, 252 nt
Filed under: uncultured bacterium
Lineage: Bacteria
Description: partial 16S ribosomal RNA
Rfam family: Bacterial small subunit ribosomal RNA
Source: RNAcentral